GUCGCACCUACCGAUUGAAUGGUCCGGUGAAGCCUCGGGAUUGCGGUUUGGUUCCUUCAUUGGGACCUGACUGUGAGAACUUGUCUGAACCUUAUCAUUUAGAGGAAGGUG
RNAcentral lists this ribosomal RNA (111 nucleotides) under uncultured eukaryote. Its description in RNAcentral is "partial small subunit ribosomal RNA". It matches the Rfam family "Eukaryotic small subunit ribosomal RNA", at positions 1675 to 1785 of the family's 1831-position model. The record is from RNAcentral.